RNAcentral lists this long non-coding RNA (234 nucleotides) under Dasypus novemcinctus (nine-banded armadillo). Its description in RNAcentral is "lncRNA (ENSDNOG00000052908.1)". Lineage: Eukaryota; Metazoa; Chordata; Mammalia; Cingulata; Dasypodidae. The record is from RNAcentral.
CGAAUGGUAGUCCUGUGUAGGCAGCCUCCAGAGCUGGAGCUAAGAGUGGAAUCUACAACCUUUGCCUCAGAGUAUUAUGAGUUUUCUGAAUUCAGGGAUAAAGAGACAGCCCUUGGAUUUACUCUCUUUUUGUUGCAUGUCACAAUUCCUGUCCACCAGUGGAGGCGCAAGGAGAAGGAAGGACCUGCCAGCAGUCCUGGGACGACCAAACCAGGAUUCUACUGAGUGCCACCU